CUCUUCAGAGACCUUCUCUUUAAGCUCAACUAACUUUCUACUACCACCAUCCUGGAUAAACUAUUUUUUUAGAAAUAUGAUGUUUCGACUUACAAUCACAUUAUGAUCUUAUGAAAAGUAGUAGUAUUCCAUUGAUUCUUUUGGAUAUCCUAUAAAAUGAACUAUUAUAGAUCUAUCCUCUAAUUUAUCAACCAUCUAUCUCUUGACAU
This 209-nucleotide long non-coding RNA is filed under the name Elaeis guineensis (African oil palm). RNAcentral describes it as "long non-coding RNA (EGUI_LNC059874)". Lineage: Eukaryota; Viridiplantae; Streptophyta; Magnoliopsida; Arecales; Arecaceae. The record is from RNAcentral.